This 3146-nucleotide ribosomal RNA is filed under the name Trichinella sp. T6. Its description in RNAcentral is "eukaryotic LSU rRNA". It matches the Rfam family "Eukaryotic large subunit ribosomal RNA", at positions 619 to 3401 of the family's 3401-position model. The record is from RNAcentral. Lineage: Eukaryota; Metazoa; Nematoda; Enoplea; Trichinellida; Trichinellidae.
GGUGGCGUCAAUGUUAGCCUCCCAUCCGACCCGUCUUGUAACACGGACCAAGGAGUUCAGUAGGCACGCGAGUCGUUGACGUUUUCCAUUGAACAGUCGAAGGCGAAAUGAAAGUGUUCAUGAAAAUGAACAGUACUUUUUUAUGGAGUGCUGUUCGCUUUCAACAUGAUCGUCCUUGUUUGUGCUUAAUUGUGCAAAAUUGAUGUAUGGGGACGCGCAGUGUGGUGCCGUUGAAUAGUCGCACUGUUCUUUCUUUCUCUUCGGGGUUGGAGGAACAAUUGUCGAUCAGUCGGUUUCGGAGCGUGCACACUGGUACCCGAAAGAUGGUGAACUAUGCUUGAGCAGAAUGAAGCCAGAGGAAACUCUGGUGGAAGUUCGUAGCGGUGUUGACGUGCAAAUCACUCGUCUGACUUGAGUGUAGGGGCGAAAGACUAAUCGAACCAUCUAGUUGCUGGUUCCUUCCGAAGUUUCCCUCAGGAUAGCUGGCAUUUGUUUGUAACAAUUUUAUCCGGUAGAGCGAAUGAUUAGAGGUGUUGGGAACGCAAUGUUCUCAGCCUAUUCUCAAACUUCGAAUGGGUAAGCAAGGCGUUUUGCUUUGAUUUUACGAUGAAAUCGCCCAAUUAGAAUGUAUAAGCAGAACUGGCGAUGUGGAAUGAACCAAAAGUCAGGUUAAGGUGCCAGACAUUGGCGCUCAUGAAAUACCAGAAAAGGUGUUGGUCGAUAUAGACAGCAGGACGGUGGCCAUGGAAGUUGGAAUCCGCCAAGGAGUGUGUAACAACUCACCUGCCGAAUCGACUAGCCCUGAAAAUGGAUAGCGUUUGAGCGCCAGGCCCAUACCUGACCGUCUCAAUUACGCACUUUUUUUUCGGAAAAGGUGUAAUGAACGUUGAGACGGGUAGGAAGGUCGCGACAGUGUUGCUUUGAAGAGUUUUGAGCGUGAGCUCGCUCGGAGCCGCUGUUGGUGCAGAUCUUGGUGGUAGUAGCAAAUAUUCAAGUGAGAACCUUGAAGGCUGAAGUGGAGCAAGGUUCCAUGUGAACAGCAGUUGGACAUGGGUCAGUCGAUCCUAAGAAAACGGCGAAAGCUUGUUCGAAUUUGCGACAUGAAUUGUAAGACUGUGUGAAUUGUGUGUGUGUGCAGUUGUCGUAUGUUUUCGAAAGGGAAUCCGGUUGAUAUUCCGGAACCGAGUAACGGAGACAAAGAGUAGCGCUUUAAUCUCUCUGUGGGGUUGGCGUUCAACUCAAUCGCGCGGUAACGCAAGCGAACUCGGAAAAUGACCGUCGUGAGUUUCGAAAAGAGUUUUCUUUUCUUUUUAAGGGACGCAUUCCCUGGAACCGGGUUGUCCGGAGAUAGGGAUUCUGGUAUCCAUAAAACGCCGACUUUUUCACGGUGUUCGGAGCGCUCUCGUCGGUACGUGAAAAUCCGAGCGACGCCUGGUAAAUCUCGUACUUGGUCGUACUGAUAUCCGCAGCAGGUCUCCAAGGUGAAUAGCCUCUGGCCGAUAGAAUAAUGUAGGUAAGGGAAGUCGGCAAAACGGAUCCGUAACUUCGGAACAAGGAUUGGCUCUAAGGGCUGGGCCGAUCGGGCUGAGGUUUCAAGCGUGCAGUGUAUGCUUGGCUGAGUUGUGUUGAGGACUUGUUCACUUGCCGCCGUUUGUUCGGUUGGUCUAGUGUAUUCGAGUCUGAAGCAGAGCUGGCCGACAGACCGGCACGUGCAGAACCUGAGCUGCGCGGCUGUCCGUUUACGUGUACAGACCGUUUCGGUCGGCAUUCAACAGCCAACUUAGAACUGGCACGGACACAAGGAAUCUGACUGUAUAAUUAAAACAAAGCAUUGCGAUGGCCGAUGAUCGGUGAUGACGCAAUGUGAUUUCUGCCCAGUGCUCUGAAUGUCAAAGUGAAGAAAUUCAAUCAAGCGCGGGUAAACGGCGGGAGUAACUAUGACUCUCUUAAGGUAGCCAAAUGCCUCGUCAUCUAAUUAGUGACGCGUAUGAAUGGAUCAACAAGAUUCCUUCUGUCCCUAUCUACUAUCUAGCGAAACCACAGCCAAGGGAACGGGCUUGGCAAAAUCAGCGGGGAAAGAAGACCCUGUUGAGCUUGACUCUAGUCUGACUCUGUGAAGAGACAUGAAAGGUGUAGCAUAGGUGGGAGAUUGUCAAAUUGCCAUCGUUCGCGCGGUGGUCCGGUGAUCGCCAAUGAAAUACCACUACUUUGAUCGUUUCUUUACUUAUUCGGUAAAGCGAAAAAAUUGUGGCCAAUUUGGCGGUUUAUGUCGCUGUUGGUCAUUGUUUUCAUGUUAGAUUGAAGCUUUGUUUACAGCCGUCGCUUUGUGUCGCCAUUUGACGCAUUGUUGUACUGGGUUAUCCCGGUGUGUGGUGUAGUCAGUAUGGAUGAUCGGCGAUAGGUUUGAAGUGAUUCGCUCCGGAAACAGUGUCAGACGGGGAGUUUGACUGGGGCGGUACAUCUGUUAAACGAUAACGCAGGUGUCCUAAGGUAAGCUCAGCGAGGACAGAAACCUCGCUUAGAGUAAACGGGCACAAGCUUACUUGAUUUUGAUUUCCAGUACGAAUAGAAACCGCGAAAGCGUGGCCUAUCGAUCCUUUUGAUUGUGUAGAUUUCAUGCAAGAGGUGUCAGAAAAGUUACCACAGGGAUAACUGGCUUGUGGCAGCCAAGCGUCCAUAGCGACGUUGCUUUUUGAUCCUUCGAUGUCGGCUCUUCCUAUCAUUGCGAAGCAGAAUUCGCCAAGCGUUGGAUUGUUCACCCACCAAUAGGGAACGUGAGCUGGGUUUAGACCGUCGUGAGACAGGUUAGUUUUACCCUACUGAUGACAAGUCGUUGCGAUAGUAAUCCUGCUCAGUACGAGAGGAACCGCGGGAUCAGACAUUUGGUUCAUGCGCUCGGCUGAAAGGCCGGUGGCGCGAAGCUAGCAUCUGCAAGAUUAUGACUGAACGCCUCUAAGUCAGAAUCUUUUCUAGUCAUUGGCAACGAUAAGUUGCGUCCAGACUCGAUGCGAGGAAACGAUUAGGCUUUGCUAUACGGCGAAGCCAUUAUCAGACCACGGUAGCAGGCAGUAUGGGAUUGUUACGAAAAAGCAAUUUUUUGAAGUCAGUUGAAUUCAAUCAAACUGCUAACAAUUCCACUGCGAAUG